Molecule: ribosomal RNA, 460 nt
Filed under: uncultured bacterium
Lineage: Bacteria
Description: partial 16S ribosomal RNA
Rfam family: Bacterial small subunit ribosomal RNA
Source: RNAcentral
CCUACGGGGGGCAGCAGUGAGGAAUAUUGGUCAAUGGGCUUACGCCUGAACCAGCCAAGUCGCGUGAGGGAAGAAUGCCCUAUGGGUUGUAAACUUCUUUUGUCAGGGAGCAACGCCGGCUACGUGUACCCGGACUGAGAGUACCUGAAGAAAAAGCAUCGGCUAACUCCGUGCCAGCAGCCGCGGUAAUACGGGGGAUGCGAGCGUUAUCCGGAUUUAUUGGGUUUAAAGGGUGCGUAGGCGGAAUGCCAAGUCAGCGGUAAAAGCGCGGGGCUCAACCUCGCUCAGCCGUUGAAACUGGCGUUCUUGAGUGGGCGAGAAGUAUGCGGAAUGCGUGGUGUAGCGGUGAAAUGCAUAGAUAUUACGCAGAACUCCGAUUGCGAAGGCAGCAUACCGGCGCCCAACUGACGCUGAGGCACGAAAGCGUGGGUAUCGAACAGGAUUAGAUACCCCAGUAGUC